UCCAGACUCCUACGGGAGGCAGCAGUGAGGAAUAUUGGUCAAUGGGCGCGAGCCUGAACCAGCCAAGUAGCGUGAAGGAUGACUGCCCUACGGGUUGUAAACUUCUUUUAUAAAGGAAUAAAGUGAGGCACGUGUGCCUUUUUGUAUGUACUUUAUGAAUAAGGAUCGGCUAACUCCGUGCCGGCAGCCGCGGUAAUACGGAGGAUCCGAGCGUUAUCCGGAUUUAUUGGGUUUAAAGGGUGCGCAGGCGGAAGAUCAAGUCAGCGGUAAAUUUGAGGGGCUCAACCUCUUCGAGCCGUUGAAACUGGUUUUCUUGAGUGAGCGAGAAGUAUGCGGAAUGCGUGGUGUAGCGGUGAAAUGCAUAGAUAUCGCGCAGAACUCCGAUUGCGAAGGCAGCAUGCCGGCUCCACACUGACGCUGAGGCACGAAAGCGUGGGUAUCGAACAGGAUUAGAUACCCCUGUA
Molecule: ribosomal RNA, 464 nt
Filed under: uncultured bacterium
Lineage: Bacteria
Description: bacterial SSU rRNA
Rfam family: Bacterial small subunit ribosomal RNA
Source: RNAcentral